GAGACUGACUGGCGGCCUCCGUCCCCGCCACACCAGAGGAGCAAGAGAAAAGCUGCCAGAAGAGUCCUCCCCUUAUUUCACUCCGCCCCCAUCACCCUUUCCACUCUUCCUGCUUUGCUGAAUCGGCUAACGUUUCCGAGAAGCCACUUGACGCGGAGCGAGAGAAAGAACCACGGGCAGAGGAGAUCGAUCAGGCUACCGAGACUUCCAGGCAAGCAAAGAAUGCAUUUCCUUUCAAAGGUGGAGUGAGGAGCCCAGGUCUCCCUGGGUCGAGAGGGAGACUUGACGCAGAGGUUGCCUUUCCCCCACCUGGGACCCGCUCAUCUGGAUAGGCCAUCAGUCAUAUAGGUUCUGACUUUCGGAGCUGGAUAGGAGCGAUUGUGAAAAGAAAUCUUUAUAAAUCAUUGUGUGCGGUUGCAUGUGUGUGCGCGCGCGUUUUCUACAACAGCCUGUUGGGAGGAAGAAUGAUGCAAACAAAAUCGAAUUAUCUUUCUCAAAGAGAAACGGGAAAUUUCCACCAAGGAGGAAAAUGGAAAGAUUUAUGACGUUGUGGCAAAGUGGAUCCCGGCCUUAAAAAAGAGAUAGAUCACCUUGCUAUAUAAAUAUGAAUGAUGGGCGUUUGCAGCUUUAGUGUAAUUUACUUCCA
Molecule: long non-coding RNA, 646 nt
Organism: Bos taurus (domestic cattle)
Lineage: Eukaryota; Metazoa; Chordata; Mammalia; Artiodactyla; Bovidae
Source: Ensembl